RNAcentral lists this long non-coding RNA (1017 nucleotides) under Ornithorhynchus anatinus (platypus). RNAcentral describes it as "lncRNA (ENSOANG00000047472.1)". The record is from RNAcentral. Lineage: Eukaryota; Metazoa; Chordata; Mammalia; Monotremata; Ornithorhynchidae.
AUGUCCAGGGCCAGCUGGUCAAGACACGGAAAGUUGGAAGGUGAUGACUCCCCGAAACUCAAGCGUCCCGAUUCCCAUUCAAUCUCAGCUCCUGCUCAACGAGGUUGUCUUUCCGCUCCCUGUGUCUCUUGUAACGGAAAUCCCUCCCAGUCGUUUCAAGGUUCUGUCGGUCAACGGUAUUUACUGAGGGCUUACUGGGUGCCCAACACUGUACUAAGCGCUUGGGAGAGGUCGAUUCAACAGUUGGUAGACACGUUCCCCGCCUCAAACUUCUGGCCCCUCCUUACCUACCCGCUCUCUUUACCCGCUCCUCGCCCGCUCUUCGCCUUCGUUGCCCCCAAGCCAACCUUCUGGUUGUCCCUCGCUCUCCACUCCCCACCUCCAUCUCCUCGCUCGACUCUCCCGCCUCCAUCGCCUCGGUCUCGAUUCCACCGGCUCCAUCCCCUCUCUCUAGGCUCUUCCGUCUCCGUCUCCUUGCUUUCGAUUCUCCUGGCUCUGUCUCCUCGUUCUUCUCUCCCGCCUCCGCCUCCUCGCUCUCGACUCUCCCGUCUCCAUCUCCUUGUUCUCGACCUUCCCACCUGUAUCUCCUCGCUCUCGACUCUCGGCUCCCAUCUCCUCGCUCUCGACUCUCCCGCCUCCAUCUCCUCGCUCUCGACUCUCCCACCUGCGUCUCCUCACUCUCGACUUGCCCACCUCCAUCUCUUCACUCUCGAUUCUCCCACCUGCCUCUCCUCGCUCCCGACUUUCCCGCCUGCGUCUCCUCGCUCUCGACUUUCCCGCCUGCAUCUCCUCGCUCUGGAGUCUCCCGCCUCCGUCUCCUCACUCUCGACUCGCCCACCUCCGUCUCCUCGCUCACGCUAUUUCCCCAGCUUGGGGCCUCCUCCCUUCCCACAUCGGCCAGACCACAGCUCUUCCGGCAUUCAAAGCCCUCCUAAAAUCCCACCCUCCAACAAGCCUUCCCUGACUGAUUUCCCAGCACCCUGCUAUAUCAUCCCUUCAGCUAAUUCCAGCCCUUAA